UGGGGAAUAUUGGACAAUGGGCGAAAGCCUGAUCCAGCCAUGCCGCGUGUGUGAAGAAGGUCUUCGGAUUGUAAAGCACUUUAAGUUGGGAGGAAGGGCAGUAAGUUAAUACCUUGCUGUUUUGACGUUACCGACAGAAUAAGCACCGGCUAACUCUGUGCCAGCAGCCGCGGUAAUACAGAGGGUGCAAGCGUUAAUCGGAAUUACUGGGCGUAAAGCGCGCGUAGGUGGUGCGUUAAGUUGGAUGUGAAAGCCCCGGGCUCAACCUGGGAACUGCAUCCAAAACUGGCGAGCUAGAGUAUGGUAGAGGGUGGUGGAAUUUCCUGUGUAGCGGUGAAAUGCGUAGAUAUAGGAAGGAACACCAGUGGCGAAGGCGACCACCUGGACUGAUACUGACACUGAGGUGCGAAAGCGUGGGGAGCAAACA
RNAcentral lists this ribosomal RNA (427 nucleotides) under uncultured bacterium. RNAcentral's name for it is "partial 16S ribosomal RNA". It matches the Rfam family "Bacterial small subunit ribosomal RNA", at positions 355 to 774 of the family's 1533-position model. The record is from RNAcentral.